Molecule: long non-coding RNA, 259 nt
Organism: Scaptodrosophila lebanonensis
Lineage: Eukaryota; Metazoa; Arthropoda; Insecta; Diptera; Drosophilidae
Exons: 2
Source: RefSeq, a predicted model, not a curated record
CGAGUUAUUUUAUAAAUAUAGACAAGUCUUAACAAAAUUCAAGUAGUCUUCUACGAAAUUUAGAAACAUGAAGUCACUUAAGUUGUCCUUUCUGAUCGUGGCUCUUCUUAUGCAGAUUGGCCAGAUAAUUAUGGCAAAAGCGGUUCGGCUCAACUUGUUGUCGACUCCUAAAUUAAGGAAUAGGAUUUUAGUCAAAUAAUUCUUAUCAAAUGUCAUUACAAUCUUAAGGGCAAUAAAAAUGUCUCCAUGCGUUUCAUAA